CAGGAGGUAGUUUAUUAAAAUAUUAAUUUUGGAGAUUAAUGAUGAAGGGUCUUCCUUCCUGA
This 62-nucleotide transfer RNA is filed under the name Macrodorcas seguyi. RNAcentral's name for it is "tRNA-Pro". The record is from RNAcentral. Lineage: Eukaryota; Metazoa; Arthropoda; Insecta; Coleoptera; Lucanidae.